CCUACGGGGUGCAGCAGUGAGGAAUAUUGGUCAAUGGACGAGAGUCUGAACCAGCCAAGUAGCGUGAAGGAUGACUGCCCUAUGGGUUGUCAACUUCUUUUAUAAAGGAAUAAAACGAGGCACGUGUGCCUUUUUCCAUGUACUUUAUGAAUAAGGAUCGGCUAACUCCGUGCCAGCAGCCGCGGUAAUACGGAGGAUCCGAGCGUUAUCCGGAUUUAUUGGGUUUAAAGGGAGCGUAGAUGGGUUGUUAAGUCAGUUGUGAAAGUUUGCGGCUCAACCGUAAAAUUGCAAUUGAUACUGGCAGUCUUGAGUACAGUUGAGGUAGGCGGAAUUCGUGGUGUAGCGGUGAAAUGCUUAGAGAUCACGAAGAACCCCGAUUGCGAAGGCAGCUUACUAAACUGUGACUGACAUUGAUGCUCGAAAGUGUGGGUAUCAAACAGGAUUAGAUACCCGGGUAGUC
This 460-nucleotide ribosomal RNA is filed under the name uncultured bacterium. RNAcentral's name for it is "partial 16S ribosomal RNA". It matches the Rfam family "Bacterial small subunit ribosomal RNA", at positions 338 to 795 of the family's 1533-position model. The record is from RNAcentral.